UACAAAGGAUGUCGGAAUGUUCUUGCGCUCCAAAGGAGGCAGCGGAGCGGGGGUCGGGAGACGUGUGGGGCGCGGGGGCAGGGAGAUGAGCGGCGGCGCGGGGCCAGGGAGACGAGGCGCCACGGGUAGGAGCGAGACGGCAGCGGCUUAGACCUGCUCUAGCCGUCCUAGACGGCGUAGAGGGCACUGUAGGUUGGCGUCGACGAGCAGCCGGUACGCCCCUCCUGCUUGCUCGACGAGCAGCCGUAGGCAGGGUGCCGGGGCGAUUUCUACCGCGGGUUGGGGGAGCUGUCGCGUACGGAGGAUGAACGGCGGACCCACGUUUGCCGCUGUUGCUCAUCCGCCGUUCGUAUGAUGCGGUUCUUCGUUAUGUCCCCGUACUUCGUUCGCUCUUCCACACGUGCCGCUGGACGAUGACGUGAUUAUCAUCGGAACUGCCUCGUGGCUCCGGCCGAGCUGUCCCGUACGGCGGACAGCCAUCUGUUGACCAACACACACUGCCUCUACUUGGGGAGCAGCAGCGGAGAUAGCGACGAUCCCUACUUGGGACGCAGACACGACCACUACCGCGAGAGGUAGAUGAAAGAGGUGACCGAUAUUCUCUCAUCUCUGGUGUAGCACCUACACAAAAAGAAGUCUCUACACGGGGCAGCAAGAAGUGACAGCUUAAACGUUACGUUAGACAGGGAUACAACCACAGAAUUGUUGAAGCAGGAGGGUGUGUUACUCUUCUUCUUUCGUCGCCGACGUUAAAUGGAUAACUAAAGAACCUCACUAAGUUUGGAUCCUUCAGACGAUGAACACGUUCGUUGUACUGUCCUCAAUGAGGUCCAGUCAUACAUAUGUAUGUCUACGUUCGUUACCUCUUUGAGUACGUCUACUACUACUUCUUUAAAAGUGCUUAAAAGGUUGGACUUAACCGAUGUCUCCAACCCUUUUCUCCUCAGGUCCGAGACUACUUGUGUAGAAGAAAGCGUCCAUGUUUAAGUUGAUGUGGUCCUGAUAAAAAAAUAAUCAGGAGCUCACAAACAACCUUACUCUACUGUGUACCAUACGGUCCGUUGUUCGUUGACUUCGUUCUUCUAAAAACAUUAAAGAACCUUACUCGGGGACUUGGGUCCUACCGUUUCCUAGGUUAUACAGUCCUGGUUACUCCUUUAACGUCUCGAAGUAUAAGUCAAAUAAAAUCCACGAACGGAUGAAGUUCACAGAUAUAAUGUCCUUUGUACAAAGAAGUUCACAGAUGUGUGAUGUUCUGCGGACGGGAAUGGUAAAUGGUCCACCACUGAACGGCCUCCUCGGCCACCACGGCGACGCUAGAAGAGGCCCGCUACCAGGUACUACGUUCGAUUUUGGCCCACGCGUACCCCCUCAACCCCGCUACCGAGCCAAGUCACGUGCCCUAGCCUAAUUGAAACAAAAGAGUAUCCAUGGACGCAGACCAUAGCAAAGAGACACCCCAAUGGUUUGCUGAGAGAGAAGAAUUAACUCUACGGUGUAGUCAAAAGUUGAAUGUACCGUCCGAAUCUUGGUAGGUCCCACCUCGUGACCCUCGUAGGAAUAUCUUCAUUACGUUAUAUAAGAGAGAGAAUAAAGAUGAACUUUAUGAUAACACCCAGACAUGAAACGGAUAGUAUAACGUUACUAUUGUGUAACAUACGGAUAAGAGAAUUGACAUCAUUCCUACUUCGUCCUUUCACACAACCUGGAAGAUUGUACCUAUAACAUGUACAUGCUCGAUACCCGG
This 1747-nucleotide ribosomal RNA is filed under the name Triticum aestivum (bread wheat). RNAcentral's name for it is "partial small subunit ribosomal RNA". Lineage: Eukaryota; Viridiplantae; Streptophyta; Magnoliopsida; Poales; Poaceae. The record is from RNAcentral.